CUGUCCAACACAAUCUUAAUCAUUGAUUGAUGUCCCUGCAGCUGUACUCUCCAUCUCCCUGGACAAAGACAAAGACUACAUUUCUUGAAUUUCCUUUGGGAUCAAUAAAGUAUCUAUCUAUCUAUCUAAGACAUGGACACAUGUGGAACUGAGUUUGACUCCAGCGAGAUAACUCAGCUUCAGAGCCACAUGUCCAAGGAAGCAAGGCUCCAACUGGAAAGCCUUAGAGAGUGAGGACUUUGUUGUUAGGCGCCUGUAAUCCCUGACAACUUUUUGAAAAAUGUAAAUAGUUAAUUGUCUGCUAUGCAUACAAAUAAAAACGAUAUAUCAUU
This is a long non-coding RNA of Solea solea (common sole), 332 nucleotides long. RefSeq lists it as uncharacterized. The transcript has 2 exons. NCBI's taxonomy places the organism in Eukaryota, Metazoa, Chordata, Actinopteri, Pleuronectiformes, Soleidae. The record is from RefSeq and is a predicted model, not a curated record.